CUUGACCUAUAACUCACCUGGCACAAAGUUGGUGCCAUUUCCCUUGAAGUGGCCAGGACAUGCUGACAGCUGUGGGAUUUGUUUCAUGUGCAGCUGCUGCCAGGUGAUUGCACUGCACCAUCAUGGCCUUCUGCAGAGAAGCACAGCUGCAUCCUCACCUUGCCUGAUGCAUCCAAACUGUACAGCUGCUGUUCAUUCCCACCUCCCAAGAUGGACUUUGAAGGACAGAAGAACCUGAGGAUGUGGUUCAGGAGAAGGUUUUGACCUGAUGCAGUCAAAAUUCUCAAAAAUGAGCAAUAUUUUAGCAACUGAAACUCUGAAAAGGAUAAACUGAAUAGCCUCAAGCCUGCCUAUGUCAGCAAAGGGAGAAAAGGAUUUUACUUCGCAGCCAGUUAUCUGAAGAGCUGUAACUAAGGCUGGAUAUCUGUGUCCCCUCAUGCCACAUUAUUGCCACAUUAUCUUUCUUAACAGAGCUUUCUUCCAUAUGAGACAAGAGUGUCUCCAGGGGACAGAGAGGCCCAGGAAAGAGCUCUUGUUCAUGCCUGGGGAUUCAGGAUCAAGAAGGCUGUGCCCUCUUUCCAAGCAAUGAUGCCUGUUGAAUAUUCUCCGUUGUGAGUAUAAUCCCCAAAGCUAAGGGAGUACUGAAGUCAUUUCUCCCCUCUCUGCCCUCAGCAAGACUGAACCUCUGGAGAGGAUAUAGUCAUUAUGUUGGUCAUGCUAAUGUAGUGCCUACAAGAGGAAGCAUUCUCUUGAAACAUUAGUAAAGCUCGCAGAAUGGUGAUCAGCAAGUGAAAUGUUGGAGAACAACACUUCCUGACUCACCAGCAGUGCUAAUGCAAUCGGAUGAAUGUCUACAUUUUAAAAGACAAAAAUAGUUUACAGACUCUUUUGAAGUCUAAAGGCUUCCAACCACAAACACAGAAACACCCCUGUAAUGUAUCUUUAUCAGUUUUGCCAGCUGAAUUGUGAGCAAUACAGACAAUAGAAAACUGUAGCCAGGUCUUCAAUGACUGUUCCAUCACAGUACUAAAGUCUCAGUCAAAGUGUAAAGUUCAAAAGGUGAUAUGACUGCAUCUUUGUGAGAUCUUUCACGGGAAAGAGAUGUGCUUGAUAGUGUUUUGUCUUACAUGUUCUCUCACUGCUUAGCUGCAAAAAUAGCUGGUAGUUCAGGUAUUUAUUAUUUUUCUGCAUAUGGAUUGCACCAGAUUUUUCUGAUCUCUUUGGCUCUCAUCCAGAUGGAUGAGUUUUGAAAUAGAUUUUUCUGGCCCGCAUGAUUUCAUCUUGAGCUGAAUGAAAAAGUACAAAUAGCAUUGAACAAACCCGGUUCUUGUUGCUUCCCUUAUCUCCAGCUUAUGAUGGCUUUUAGACUUUGUCAGGGUCAGGCCUGUAUUCUGUCUGUGGCCCAGCAGUCUUAAUUUCAAACUAAGUGGAUGACAAAUCAAAAAAUAAUGUUGUAUGAAACAAUAAGUGAUAGCAAAAUCCCCCAUUGAAAAUCAAACUUUUGCUUAUGAUGUUUAAAUCUCAGAGCUGAAACAGACAUUUACCCCAUUCUCUUUUCUGUCCUGAGUAUACAUAUUAUCCUUCAGCUGAGAUUUUUUUAUUGAUGAAAGUUUAUUUAAAAAGACUGGAUUCUGAAGAAAAUCCAAUUUAUAAGAUAAAUCAUAUUCAAGCUCUAAAAAUAUUGACAAUAUUUGAUUCUGAUUUUGAUUUUAAUCAUAUGUUUCCUCUGUAUUCUGUUAGUGAACCAUGUCAACAUAUAUUGAUUUACAUAUGAAAAAGCAAAGUACUGAUUCAUGGUAAAGGUCAACAAUGCUGAAAUAGAUCUUACUGGCAUGCAAACCUAAUAGUUACUAUGAGUAGACUGUAGCACAUUUAACAGGGUGACGAACAUGAGAACAUGUAUCUAAUCUGGUGGUUUUGCCCUAUCUCUCUGUCUACAAUAACUGAACAAACAAAUAAAUGAUAAAAAUCACACCAAAGUGUUCAUCUACCAGCAAACAGAGUGAACUUCUAGUUCCAGAAGAAAAUACUACUCAACCAAUAAGGUCUUAAAAGAUAAU
Long non-coding RNA from Anas platyrhynchos (mallard), 2060 nucleotides. RefSeq lists it as uncharacterized. The record is from RefSeq and is a predicted model, not a curated record. NCBI's taxonomy places the organism in Eukaryota, Metazoa, Chordata, Aves, Anseriformes, Anatidae.